Molecule: non-coding RNA, 181 nt
Filed under: Clostridiales bacterium
Lineage: Bacteria; Bacillati; Bacillota; Clostridia; Eubacteriales
Description: 6S RNA
Rfam family: 6S / SsrS RNA
About the family: E. coli 6S RNA was the first non coding RNA to be sequenced, but its function was unknown until recently. It consists of 184 nucleotides that fold into an extended hairpin structure with a large single-stranded internal bulge.
Source: RNAcentral
GAGUUCCUGAGAUGCUCGCUAAGCUUCUCUUUUUAACCCACAGAGAUAAUAUGGGAAUUCGGAGUUUAGCUACGUAUGACAAGUCUCUAUGAAAAAUAGAGAAAGUCAGAAAUAGCUAACAGGAUACCCACCUGCCAAGAGGCGGGUAAAAAAGGUAGCAUAACGACAUCAUGGGAACCAA